UUUUUUCAUACCUAAGAAAAGUUUCCAGUGGACAAGUAAUAUUAGCUUUUAUAUUUUAAUUAAAUGUGUAAUAAACAAAAGUGGGUCUGGUGCAAGAAUAAAAACACAAAUCACUGGGUGAAAAACAGAAAUGCUUAAACAUUGCCAUGUCAGAUAUUAUCUCAACAGGUUGUAUAGGAAACAUCACAAAGCAACAGAGAUAGAUUGAUGUCCCAUAAACUGAAUCGAGGAAAAUUGACAGGCAUUUCCCUGACCUCAGUCUGUGUUCCAGCUCUUUCCAUGCCUGAAGGAAAAUCCAAGGACUUUUAGGAUCCGAAUCUAAGAAGUUUGGGUUGCCCUUGAUGUCUGGGAAGAGCAGUUUUUGCAUUUUUCAUCAAUAUCACAAGGCUGAUCUUCAGCCGAUACGUGCAGGUG
This is a long non-coding RNA of Orcinus orca (killer whale), 414 nucleotides long. RefSeq lists it as uncharacterized. Lineage: Eukaryota; Metazoa; Chordata; Mammalia; Artiodactyla; Delphinidae. The transcript is spliced from 3 exons. The record is from RefSeq and is a predicted model, not a curated record.